This 64-nucleotide transfer RNA is filed under the name Ictidomys tridecemlineatus (thirteen-lined ground squirrel). RNAcentral describes it as "Spermophilus tridecemlineatus (thirteen-lined ground squirrel) tRNA". It matches the Rfam family "tRNA", at positions 5 to 66 of the family's 71-position model. From Rfam's summary of the family: Transfer RNA (tRNA) molecules are approximately 80 nucleotides in length. The record is from Rfam by way of RNAcentral. Lineage: Eukaryota; Metazoa; Chordata; Mammalia; Rodentia; Sciuridae.
GUGUAGCUCAGUUGGCAGAGUGUUUGUCUUGCAAGCACAAGGCCCUGGGUUCAAUCCCCAGCAC